Molecule: ribosomal RNA, 1298 nt
Filed under: metagenome
Description: bacterial LSU rRNA
Rfam family: Bacterial large subunit ribosomal RNA
Source: RNAcentral
AUCCUUAGUCAUAUUUCCAAGAAAAGCUCCGAUUACUUUAUAAUUUAAAUAACCUGUACCCUAAACCGACACAGGUAGGUAGGUAGAGAAUACUAAAGGGCGCGAGAUAACUCUCUCUAAGGAACUCGGCAAAAUAACUCCGUAACUUCGGGAGAAGGAGUGGCUAGAGAUAGCCCGCAGUGACCAGGCCCAGGCGACUGUUUAUCAAAAACACAGGUUUCCGCAAAAUCGUAAGAUAAAGUAUGGGAGCUGACGCCUGCCCAGUGUCGGAAGGUAAAAGAAGUUGGUUAUUCUUCGGAAGAAGCUGACGACUGAAGCCCCGAUGAACGGCGGCUGUAACACUGACAGUCCUAAGGUAGCGAAAUUCAUUGCCAAGUAAGUUUUGGCCCGCACGAAAGGCGUAACGAUCUGGGUACUGUCUCGGAGAGAGACUCGGUGAAAUAGAAAUGUCUGUGAAGAUGCGGACUACCUAUACCAGGACAGAAAGACCCUGUGAAGCUUGACUGUAGCUUGGAAUUGGAUUCGGGCUCUUUUUGUGCAGUCUAGGUGGGAGGCGAUGAUAUACUGUUUUCGGACAGUGUGGAGCCAUCAGUGAGAGACCACUCUGAAAGAGCUAGGAUCCUAAUACGAAUCCUUGAAUCAGGAUCGUUAACAGUUUCAGGCGGACAGUUUGUUUGGGGCGAAUACCUCCCAAAAAGUAACGGAGGUGUGCAAAGGCUUCCUCAGGCUGGACGGAAAUCAGCUGUAGAGUGUAAAAGUAUAAGGGAGCUUGACUGCAAGACCAACAAGUCGAGCAGGAGUGAAAGCUGGCUUUAGUGAUCCGACGGUACCGAGUGGAAGGGCCGUCGCUCAACGAAUAAAAGUUACUCCAGGAUAACAGGCUAAUCACUUCCAAGAGUUCGUAUCGACGAAGUGGUUUGGCACCUCGAUGUCGGCUCAUCGCAACCUGGGGCUGUAGUCGGUCCCAAGGGUUGUACUGUUCGUCCAUUAAAGCGGUACGUGAGCUGGGUUCAGAACGUCGUGAGACAGUUCGGUCCAUAUCCGGUAUAGGCGUAAGAGCAUUGAGAGGAGCUCGACAUUGUACGAGAGGACCCGAAGGGUCGUACCAUGGUGUACCAGUUCUUGUACCAACAGGAAACGCUGGGUAGCUAUGUACGAAGUGGAUAAUCGCUGAAAGCAUUUAAGUGAGAAGCCCACCUCAAGAUGAAUGCUCUCUAUUAGAUCGCAGCAAGAUAAGCUGAUUAAUUGGCGUUAGGUGUAAGGUCAGUAAUGGCUUCAGCCGAGACGUACAAAGGAUC